Molecule: long non-coding RNA, 250 nt
Filed under: Coffea arabica (coffee)
Lineage: Eukaryota; Viridiplantae; Streptophyta; Magnoliopsida; Gentianales; Rubiaceae
Description: long non-coding RNA (CARA_LNC001253)
Source: RNAcentral
GUUAGUAGAGGCACCCCUCUGUCCCCAACUAACCUAGAGGCACCUGAUGCCCCUAGAACUUUCCCCAGCCCAUACUUAGGCUAGGAAAACAUCAUCACACAUGGGUCCACUCGUUUCCAACAAGCUUCACCUUCGGCCUUCCACCUAGGCCAUGGCUUGGCCGAACUUGGCCACGGCCGCGCGCGUUCCGUCUGGACCGCGCCCUAAGGGGCUAACAAACCACCCCCACCUGAAGAGGUUGACGCCCUCG